This 760-nucleotide ribosomal RNA is filed under the name uncultured archaeon. RNAcentral's name for it is "bacterial SSU rRNA". It matches the Rfam family "Archaeal small subunit ribosomal RNA", at positions 28 to 764 of the family's 1478-position model. The record is from RNAcentral.
UGCUAUCGGGAUAGGACUAAGACAUGCUAGUUGAGCGCUUCCAGCCAAAACGGGAGCGCAGCGCACAGCUCAGUAACACGUGGCUAAUCUGCCCUUGGGACCGGAACACCCCCGGGAAACUGGGGCUAAUUCUCGAUAGGUGAAGAACUCUGGAAUGAGUCUUUGCCAAAAAGACGUUUACGUUAUGCUCGUAGGCGUCGCCCGAGGAUGAGGCCGCGACCGAUCAGGUUGUUGGUGAGGUAAUGGCUCACCAAGCCUUUUACCGGUGCGGGCCGUGAGAGCGGGAGCCCGGAGAUGGGCACUGAGACAAGGGCCCAGGCCCUACGGGGCGCAGCAGUCGCGAAAACUUUGCAAUACACGAAAGUGUGACAGGGCUAUCCCGAGUGCCAUCCGCUGAGGAAGGCUUUUACCCAGUCUAGAACGCUGGGGGAAUAAGGAGAGGGCAAGUCUGGUGUCAGCCGCCGCGGUAAUACCAGCUCUCCGAGUGGUGUGGAUGUUUAUUGGGCCUAAAGCAUCCGUAGCUGGCUGAGUUAGUCCCUUGUUAAAUCCACCGAAUUAAUCGUUGGAUUGCGGGGGAUACUGCUCGGCUAGGGGACGAGAGAGGCAGACGGUAUUUCUGGGGUAGGGGUGAAAUCCUAUAAUCCCAGGAGGACCACCAGUGGCGAAAGCUGUCUGCUAGAACGCGCCCGACGGUGAGGGAUGAAAGCUGGGGGAGCGAACCGGAUUAGAUACCCGGGUAGUCCCAGCUGUAAACGAUGCA